AGAGACAGCAGUAGCCACGGGAAUACGAAGGGUGCAAGCGUUACUCGGAAUUACUGGGCGUAAAGCGUGCGUAGGUGGUGGUUUAAGUCCGUUGUGAAAGCCCUGGGCUCAACCUGGGAAUUGCAGUGGAUACUGGGUCACUAGAGUGUGGUAGAGGAUAGUGGAAUUUCCGGUGUAGCAGUGAAAUGCGUAGAGAUCGGAAGGAACAUCUGUGGCGAAGGCGACUAUCUGGGCCAACACUGACACUGAGGCACGAAAGCGUGGGGAGCAAACAGGAUUAGAUACCCCAGUAGUCCCUGUCUCUUAUAC
RNAcentral lists this ribosomal RNA (309 nucleotides) under uncultured bacterium. RNAcentral describes it as "partial 16S ribosomal RNA". It matches the Rfam family "Bacterial small subunit ribosomal RNA", at positions 504 to 807 of the family's 1533-position model. The record is from RNAcentral.